Molecule: long non-coding RNA, 1178 nt
Organism: Ceratitis capitata (Mediterranean fruit fly)
Lineage: Eukaryota; Metazoa; Arthropoda; Insecta; Diptera; Tephritidae
Exons: 2
Source: RefSeq, a predicted model, not a curated record
AAUGCGAGCGUAAAUAAAGCGAAAUAGAAAAAAAUGAAGAAGAAACAAAUGUAAAAAAGAAAAUUACGAUAAUAAGCGACAAAAGUAUCCUCAUGUAAAUUCCAGACAUAUAGAAAGAAUCAUAUGCAAAGAAUAAGAGAAAAAAUAGAAAGAUAAACCCGCACAUAAGUCAAACGCAUAAGUGAAUAAAAAAAAGAUAAUAACAAAAAAAAAUAUAAAAACUAUUGCGGAUAAAGUCAAGCGAGGCUUAAUAAAAAAUGUUAUAAAAACUACGUAUAGACUAAUUGAUUGGGUUUGAAGGAGAGAAUUUGAAUUGUUGUUGCUACGAAGUGUUUUUCGUUCAAAAAUAUUUGCAAAGCAUCAUCGACUUAAAUAGUCAUGGGAGCGAGGAAGAGCACAUAAAUGCAAUAUCAAGUUAUGAAACAAUAACAAUAAAUUAAUUUCUUAUGAAAUUAACAUGCGCAGCAUAUUCUUGUUUACUGCUGGCGCAAAUGAUUGAAACUGGAACAUGAACGUUGCAUUUGGAAAGUCGGUUAUUGCCACAUCAGUAAUAAAAAGGCACAUUUGUGAAGAUAUUCUCCCCUUUUGACUUGCUUUUAUUAUUGCUAUUAUUUUUAAAACAAUUCUUACUUUUUGGCUGUUUGAGAGCACCAAAUAAAAAAAAUAUAUGCAUAUAUCAUAAUAAUAACAGUAUUAACAAAAACAAGCAUGAGUGUUUAUUCGUCGGACAGUGGAAUUGAGCAACGAGAACCAACAGCUGCUAAACAACGACGCAAUGAAGUUUGUUACCAUCAAAACAACAACGUCAAUAAUCUGACACAAUAAUCAGCCAUCAGCCGUCAAAUGGGCGAAUGAGGAAAUACUGCAAAAAUGAGUAAAUGAAAUGAAUAAAGCAAAUAUAGAACCGUCAUACACAUUGGAAGUUGAAAUAAUUUUUUUGCUGUUGUUGCUUAAAAUGCAGCAGCUACAACGCAAUGCAAGAAAAGGAGAACGACAAAAGAAAACGACUAAUAAAUACUGUGCUUGAUUAUUUCUGGCUUAAAGCAAUCUCAAAUUCUGCUACACUGUGCCAAAACACAAAUCAGCGACGAUGAUAACAAAACACGACACGAAAAAGCGUGGGGAGACCAGGGGCGUAGUCAGCGAUGUUAAAUGAGCGCUGGCAAAGAAGAGUACGC